Molecule: long non-coding RNA, 2608 nt
Organism: Xiphophorus hellerii (green swordtail)
Lineage: Eukaryota; Metazoa; Chordata; Actinopteri; Cyprinodontiformes; Poeciliidae
Exons: 3
Source: RefSeq, a predicted model, not a curated record
GAAACUGCAGGUCGGAGGAAGAGCUGUGUCCCAAAGGCAGGGCUAGGUCCAUCCAAUCAUUUUGCUCAGCUGAUUGGUUACCAUGGAGAUUAAAUGACUUCUCAAACAUGUGACACUAAGGCGACACUACAGGAAUGUUUUUGAUGAGGGAAGAACUUUAUAUCUUGACGUAAAGCUCAAACAUGUCGAUAUUACAUAAUAUUGCCCCUUUAGCAUUUUUACCAGAGCAGUAAUAACAGGAAGUCACCUAAAUAAAAAAUGUCUUGUCUUUGGUUAGUGUUGAUCUACAUUUUGCAUAAAUAUUAAAAUUGGACUCAGAUUUUUUUUAAUGAUUUCUCAGACAAAAUCUAAAGGCUACUUAAAUAUCUCGGCUUCAGGGAAGACAGGAAACCAGAAAGUCAGUCAUGGAAGAUUUUUUUAUCCUUCUUUUUCGGUUUCUGCUGCAGAACUGGUUCUUGAUCCAGAGCCGGAUAAGACCGAGUUUGAUUCUUCCAAACUGGUCCAAGUCACAAAAUGCUGAGCAGCAAUGGAAAACCGGAGUAACAGCCGCACAGAAGCAGAAAUCUGACCUUGAUAUGAGGAAGCAUUUUUCUGAGGAAUGGAAAAAUCCGUCCAGGAUAACGAGAAACUUCUUCCAACUUGUAUUAAAUCCUUUUAACAGUUUGGGAAAAGACAGAGAGGGAAACCAGGAUAGCUUAUAUGGGGAAUUAAAGCUGAAACUGUCCUGCAGCCACAGAGAAACUAGAGACGACCUUCCCAACGCGGAGCUUCCUGAAAAUCCCAAAUAUUUACAGUCGAACAUUUAAUUUAGUCUGGAACUAACAAAGCAGAUGAAAUGUUUGAAAAUCUGAAACUAAUAGUCUGUUCUGAGUGUUUUCAGAUUAAAAAACACAUUCAUGACGACAUGACGACUGUGGAGAGGGCGGGUGGGCGAGCAAGGCAGUGCAUUAUGUGGUAACAUGGGUAGAGAGAGAGAGAGGCUGUUCUUGUUGGGAUUAAUUGGAAGCAGCUGCUGAGGAAACGUUGAUCCUGGUUGGCUGUUGAGAGUUUCUGUUUGGAAGAACGGCGACUCGGUGACGCAACGCUGCAGAACAGUUCAGAUCCUGGUUCCCACCAGAACCAAACAGAACUUAAUGAAAAAUUCAUUAUUUUCUGAAAGAACCAGCAUCUAAUCGCCAGAGAACAAAAUGUGAUCUGAACUGGGCGGAGCAAUAACUUCCAUAUUUAGUUUUCUGUUUUUAUGACUCUGUCAUGAACACAACACUUCUUAAAUGGGAAGUAGUAUUUAUUUUUAGCCACAUAAUUCCAUUUUAAGGCACAUCUAAGAACUAUAUUACCUUGAGUUGUUAUAUUUAUAUAGCAAAUAUGACUUAAAAGAAAUUUUACGUCAACAUUUAAUUCCUUGAAGUUGGGAUUCUGUCUCUUUAAGAAGCUUCUGCCUUCAGGAAGUCGUCACAUUUCUCUGUUAAAAAUGUCUCAGUUGUUUAUUUUCCAUCAUAAAAUUUUGUACUUUUUAUCUACUCAACAAUAAAUAAAGCAUUAACUAUUUUAAUUAAACAUUUUUUGUAGAAACUGGAUUGUAAAUUCAAAACUCCAAAUGUUUUUUUCUUGUUGAAAGAAAUGCAUCCAGUUUGUUAUCAUUUUGGGUUUGGAAAAAUAUUUUGUAUUUCUUAGCAGCAACAAAAGGAUCUAGAUCAGUUCUCAUUUGAAAACACUUCCUGUGUUUAAGCGACUUUAAUUCAGCAAUUAAAAGUAGAUUUGGGUGAAACAAGGUGAACUUCAGACUAUAAGUCAAUGAGUAGACAUGCAUUGUGUUGCAUCUGACAUUUUUGUCAGUAGAUUUUGAUUCAAAAGAUAAAGUUUUGUCCCAAUUUAUACUUGAAUUGUGGCUGGGGGGGUAACGAAAAAAAAAAAUCCAUCCAGGUGCCACUAGCGGCCCCCGGGCCACAGGUUGAACACCGUAGGGUCAGAUGGAUGAAACUCUUGUACAGAAGAUCCGUCACUGGUUUCCUCUAGAGAUUCUUAGGGUGGAAGGUAAAAGUCAAACAAACUCCUCCUCGCAUCAUUCUGGAUGUAAAGUCUGUUCAGAUUUGUCGGACUGAGUCCCCCAGUCUGCAGCGUUGGGCCCCCAUGAAACCGAAGCCGCUCUGCGCAGACAGAAGACUCCUGAAAUUACAGCUGCAGGCUGUAAAUAAACCUCAUUACGAUGAGCUGCAGCGUUUCCUCUCAGUAAUCAUGCAGCGUCUGAGGGGGAGGUCGCUCUUUAAUUCAGCUGCUUGUGGAGAAAAAACCCUGAAUUACAGAUUCCAAAUGAAUCUCUGCCCUGUUGCAACAAACCAGCUUCAUUUUUCUGUUUUUCACGUGCAGUUUUAGAUCUGCAUGCUUGUUCAUUUCCUACAACUUUAAACUCAGUUUAAAGUUUAGCUAUAAUGAAGAAAAAUCAGAUUAAAAUACGCUUGUUAAAACUCCAACUGCCUGAACAUGAAACUGAAACUGAUGAUAAAGACAAUAAAACGUCUUUUUCCUACAGAAAAUCCCAGAUUUGUCUCCAUCAGAAUGGAAUAAAAGUACAUAAAGUGCAAAUGGAUCUUUAAAAGCACCAACAAAA